UGAAGACUCAUUUGAGGCGUAUUUGAUGUUGUUGUUGUUGAUUUUCAGUCUUGACAGAACUCGACUAUCUUAGUUUGGGAAAUGAAAGGAACUGGACGAGGAAAAAGUGGGAGAGGCGGGACGAGCUGUGGUCGUGGAAGUUUUCAAGGACGUGGUAAUUUUGGAGCGACGUCUCAGCCACGCAUACAGACUGGACGAGUAUCUGGUGCAUCUGUAGAGACAGGACAACAUGUAACCCGAGUCAAGGACCUUUACAAACCGGACGAGUAUCUAGUAACUCUCUCCCAAGACCUUCUUUAGAAACACAAUCAUCACGAAAUGAACCAGAAACUGUUCAUCGCUCUCCAGAGGCUGACAAUUGUGCAAUUUCUUCCAGCAAUAAAAAAAGAGGAAGAGGAAAGUACAAAUCUCAAAGUUUAGAUAUAAAAACUAAGUAUUGUGGAAAAAUCAAAAUUAUGAUUCCAGAUGACAUUGAUAGAGCAGUAGGUUCUGGGGCUAGAGAUAUUGUUAAUUACUGCAGUUUGAUCAUGAGAAGCACUAUCUCGUUCCAAGAUGGAAAUUGGCAAAAUAUAGUUUUGAAAUACGGAGAAGCAAUGUGGUUAAAG
This is a non-coding RNA of Nicotiana tabacum (common tobacco), 605 nucleotides long. The record is from RefSeq and is a predicted model, not a curated record. NCBI's taxonomy places the organism in Eukaryota, Viridiplantae, Streptophyta, Magnoliopsida, Solanales, Solanaceae.